CAUUAGAUGGCUGAAAGUAAGCAGCGGAAUUUUAAACCGCUGUAUAAUAGGAUAACGUCUAUUUCUAAUG
This 70-nucleotide transfer RNA is filed under the name Geoffmonteithia queenslanda. RNAcentral's name for it is "tRNA-Lys". The record is from RNAcentral. Lineage: Eukaryota; Metazoa; Arthropoda; Insecta; Coleoptera; Cerambycidae.